Molecule: ribosomal RNA, 644 nt
Filed under: Bacillus sp. EB12(2012)
Lineage: Bacteria; Bacillati; Bacillota; Bacilli; Caryophanales; Bacillaceae
Description: bacterial SSU rRNA
Rfam family: Bacterial small subunit ribosomal RNA
Source: RNAcentral
UUGCUCCCGGAUGUUAGCGGCGGACGGGUGAGUAACACGUGGGUAACCUGCCUGUAAGACUGGGAUAACUCCGGGAAACCGGAGCUAAUACCGGAUAGUUCCUUGAACCGCAUGGUUCAAGGAUGAAAGACGGUUUCGGCUGUCACUUACAGAUGGACCCGCGGCGCAUUAGCUAGUUGGUGGGGUAAUGGCUCACCAAGGCGACGAUGCGUAGCCGACCUGAGAGGGUGAUCGGCCACACUGGGACUGAGACACGGCCCAGACUCCUACGGGAGGCAGCAGUAGGGAAUCUUCCGCAAUGGACGAAAGUCUGACGGAGCAACGCCGCGUGAGUGAUGAAGGUUUUCGGAUCGUAAAGCUCUGUUGUUAGGGAAGAACAAGUGCGAGAGUAACUGUCGCACCUUGACGGUACCUAACCAGAAAGCCACGGCUAACUACGUGCCAGCAGCCGCGGUAAUACGUAGGUGGCAAGCGUUGUCCGGAAUUAUUGGGCGUAAAGGGCUCGCAGGCGGUUUCUUAAGUCUGAUGUGAAAGCCCCCGGCUCAACCGGGGAGGGUCAUUGGAAACUGGGAAACUUGAGUGCAGAAGAGGAGAGUGGAAUUCCACGUGUAGCGGUGAAAUGCGUAGAGAUGUGGAGGAACACC